UACGUAGGUGGCAAGCGUUGUCCGGAUUUAUUGGGUUUAAAGGGUGCGUAGGCGGCCUAUUAAGUCAGUGCUGAAAUAUCCCGGCUUAACCGGGAGGGUGGCAUUGAUACUGAUGGGCUUGAGUAGAGUUGAGGUUGGCGGAAUUGACGGUGUAGCGGUGAAAUGCUUAGAUAUCGUCAAGAACACCUAUUGCGAAGGCAGCUAACUAAGCUCAAACUGACGCUGAGGCACGAAAGUGUGGGGAUCAAACAGG
This 253-nucleotide ribosomal RNA is filed under the name uncultured bacterium. Its description in RNAcentral is "partial 16S ribosomal RNA". It matches the Rfam family "Bacterial small subunit ribosomal RNA", at positions 524 to 776 of the family's 1533-position model. The record is from RNAcentral.